GGGCGAAUGGUUUAGUGGUAUAAUACUCCCUUAGCAUCAUCCGGGUUUCUGCUCGUAGCUUGGGAGUGGUCCGGGGUUCGAUUCCCCGUUUGUCCA
Non-coding RNA from Claviceps maximensis, 96 nucleotides. The record is from the annotation of a GenBank genome assembly. Lineage: Eukaryota; Fungi; Ascomycota; Sordariomycetes; Hypocreales; Clavicipitaceae.